AUUUAUAGACUAAAAUGGAAAUUCAAAAACCCUCUGAAAUUAGACUGAAAUGGGUUUACUACAUCCACUGUUUACUACAUGAGUUUAUUGCUUCUAUAAACUCAAAUUAGACAUUGUUGAGGAAAUAUAACACAUUCUGAUAAUACCAUUGAUAGCCACAACUGCUUUCUCCAGCUCCAGCCUUGGCAUAUUUUUCAUUCAUUGAUCGUGCAGAACCUAUGACUAACUUCAUGCUGGGCACUGUUCAUCUCAAAUCAUAAAUUACAAAGCCUGCCUUCAACAUGAAAUAAGAAAAAUAUAGCAUGAUGAAUUUCCUUUACUCAAUUUCGUACUGAUCCAUGAAUGAAGCUACAAAAGGAUGUUCAGAUCCCUAUCCUGAAAUGAGGAUUAAAGAGAGUGAUAAGACAAUUAACUCUUUCUAGGUAAGUUAAAUAUAAUACAAAAUCAAUGCCUCUUUCUAGGACCCUCAGCUGCAGCUUUCACAUCCUUUGAACUGGAACCACCCUUAUUGUUAUUAAGCAUGAGCGACCUAAUGAGUAUGUUUUGUUGGUCUGUCUUUAUG
RNAcentral lists this long non-coding RNA (562 nucleotides) under Gossypium raimondii (Peruvian cotton). RNAcentral's name for it is "long non-coding RNA (GRAI_LNC010170)". Lineage: Eukaryota; Viridiplantae; Streptophyta; Magnoliopsida; Malvales; Malvaceae. The record is from RNAcentral.